RNAcentral lists this ribosomal RNA (550 nucleotides) under uncultured bacterium. RNAcentral describes it as "bacterial SSU rRNA". It matches the Rfam family "Bacterial small subunit ribosomal RNA", at positions 355 to 896 of the family's 1533-position model. The record is from RNAcentral.
UAGGGAAUCUUCGGCAAUGGGGGCAACCCUGACCGAGCAACGCCGCGUGAGUGAAGAAGGUUUUCGGAUCGUAAAGCUCUGUUGUAAGUCAAGAACGAGUGUGAGAGUGGAAAGUUCACACUGUGACGGUAUCUUACCAGAAAGGGACGGCUAACUACGUGCCAGCAGCCGCGGUAAUACGUAGGUCCCGAGCGUUGUCCGGAUUUAUUGGGCGUAAAGCGAGCGCAGGCGGUUAGAUAAGUCUGAAGUUAAAGGCUGUGGCUUAACCAUAGUACGCUUUGGAAACUGUUUAACUUGAGUGCAAGAGGGGAGAGUGGAAUUCCAUGUGUAGCGGUGAAAUGCGUAGAUAUAUGGAGGAACACCGGUGGCGAAAGCGGCUCUCUGGCUUGUAACUGACGCUGAGGCUCGAAAGCGUGGGGAGCAAACAGGAUUAGAUACCCUGGUAGUCCACGCCGUAAACGAUGAGUGCUAGGUGUUAGACCCUUUCCGGGGUUUAGUGCCGCAGCUAACGCAUUAAGCACUCCGCCUGGGGAGUACGACCGCAAGGUUG